Molecule: ribosomal RNA, 406 nt
Filed under: uncultured bacterium
Lineage: Bacteria
Description: partial 16S ribosomal RNA
Rfam family: Bacterial small subunit ribosomal RNA
Source: RNAcentral
AUUGAACGCUGGCGGCAGGCCUAACACAUGCAAGUCGAACGAGUGGCGGACGGGUGAGUAAUGUCUGGGAAACUGCCUGAUAGAGGGGGAUAACUACUGGAAACGGUAGCUAAUACCGCAUACCAUCGGAUGUGCCCAGAUGGGAGUAGCUAGUAGGUGGGGUAAAGGCUCACCUAGGCGACGAUCCCUAGCUGGUCUGAGAGGAUGACCAGCCACACUGGAACGGAAAAACUGGCCAGAAUCCUACGAGAGGCAGCAGUGGGGAAUAUUGCACAAUGGGCGCAAGCCUGAUGCAGCCAUGCCGCGUGUAUGAAGAAGGCCUUCGGGGUGGAAAGUACUUUCAGCGGGGAGGCGUUACCCGCAGAAGAAGCACCGGCUAACUCCGUGCCAGCCGCCGCGGUAAUUC